This 515-nucleotide ribosomal RNA is filed under the name uncultured bacterium. RNAcentral describes it as "bacterial SSU rRNA". It matches the Rfam family "Bacterial small subunit ribosomal RNA", at positions 32 to 518 of the family's 1533-position model. The record is from RNAcentral.
GACGCUGGCGGCGUGCCUAAUACAUGCAAGUCGAACGGCUUUUCUAUGGAAGCUUGCUUCCACUGAGAAGAUAGUGGCGAACGGGUGAGUAACACGUGGGUAACCUGCCCAUAAGAGGGGGGAUAACAUCCGGAAACGGGUGCUAAUACCGCAUAGUUUUCUUGAUCGCAUGAUCGGGAAAGGAAAGACGGCCUUUGUGCUGUCGCUUAUGGAUGGACCCGCGGCGUAUUAGUUAGUUGGUGAGGUAACGGCUCACCAAGACGAUGAUACGUAGCCGACCUGAGAGGGUGAUCGGCCACAUUGGGACUGAGACACGGCCCAAACUCCUACGGGAGGCAGCAGUAGGGAAUCUUCCGCAAUGGACGAAAGUCUGACGGAGCAACGCCGCGUGAGUGAAGAAAAGGUUUUCGGAUCGUAAAACUCUGUUGUCAGAGAAGAACAAGUUGGAGAGUAACUGCUCCAGCCUUGACGGUAUCUGACCAGAAAGCCACGGCUAACUACGUGCCAGCAGCGGC